UGCCCUUUGUACACACCGCCCGUCGCUAUCCGGGACUGAACUGAUUCGAGAAGAGUGGGGACUGUGGCUGCGAGGUUUUACCACUUCGCAGUUGCGGAAACCAUUUUUAUCGCAUUGGUUUGAACCGGGUAAAAGUCGUAACAAGGUAGCUGUAGGUGAACCUGCAGCUGGAUCAUCG
Molecule: non-coding RNA, 178 nt
Organism: Caenorhabditis japonica
Lineage: Eukaryota; Metazoa; Nematoda; Chromadorea; Rhabditida; Rhabditidae
Source: Rfam